RNAcentral lists this ribosomal RNA (560 nucleotides) under uncultured bacterium. Its description in RNAcentral is "partial 16S ribosomal RNA". It matches the Rfam family "Bacterial small subunit ribosomal RNA", at positions 355 to 900 of the family's 1533-position model. The record is from RNAcentral.
UGGGGAAUUUUGGACAAUGGGCGAAAGCCUGAUCCAGCAAUGCCGCGUGUGUGAAGAAGGCCUUCGGGUUGUAAAGCACUUUUGUCCGGAAAGAAAUCCUUGGCUCUAAUACAGUCGGGGGGAUGACGGUACCGGAAGAAUAAGCACCGGCUAACUACGUGCCAGCAGCCGCGGUAAUACGUAGGGUGCAAGCGUUAAUCGGAAUUACUGGGCGUAAAGCGUGCGCAGGCGGUUUGCUAAGACCGAUGUGAAAUCCCCGGGCUCAACCUGGGAACUGCAUUGGGUGACUGGGCAGGCUAGAGUAUGGCAGAGGGGGGUAGAAUUCCACGUGUAGCAGUGAAAUGCGUAGAGAUGUGGAGGAAUACCGAUGGCGAAGGCAGCCCCCUGGGCCAAUACUGACGCUCAUGCACGAAAAGCGUGGGGGAGCAAAACAGGAUUAGAUACCCCUGGGUAGUCCACGCCCUAAACGAUGUCAACUAGUUGUUGGGGAUUCAUUUCCUUAGUAACGUAGCUAACGCGUGAAGUUGACCGCCUGGGGAGUACGGUCGCAAGAUUAAAAC